Tetradesmus obliquus is the source of this 72-nucleotide non-coding RNA. The record is from the annotation of a GenBank genome assembly. NCBI's taxonomy places the organism in Eukaryota, Viridiplantae, Chlorophyta, Chlorophyceae, Sphaeropleales, Scenedesmaceae.
GGGAACUUGGUCUAGUGGUAUGAUUCUCGUUUAGGGUACGAGAGGUCGCGGGUUCAAUUCCCGCAGUUCCCC